UGGGCGAAAGCCUGAUCCAGCAAUGCCAUGUGUGUGAAGAAGGCUCUAGGGUUGUAAAGCACUUUAGUUGGGGAGGAAAGCUCAUGAGUUAAUAGCUUGUGAGAAGGACGUUACCCAAAGAAUAAGGACCGGCUAACUCCGUGCCAGCAGCCGCGGUAAUACGGGGGGUCCGAGCGUUAAUCGGAAUUACUGGGCGUAAAGGGUCUGUAGGUGGUUUGUUAAGUCAGAUGUGAAAGCCCAGGGCUCAACCUUGGAACUGCAUUUGAUACUGGCAAACUAGAGUAUAGUAGAGGAAUGGGGAAUCUCUGGUGUAGCGGUGAAAUGCGUAGAGAUCAGAAGGAACACCAAUGGCGAAGGCAACAUUCUGGACUAAUACUGACACUGAGGGACGAAAGCGUGGGGAUCAAACAGGAUUAGAUACCCUGGUAGUCCACGCUGUAAACGAUGAGUACUAGCUGUUGGAGUCGGUGUAAAGGCUCUGGUGGCGUAGCUAACGCGUUAAGUACUCCCGCCUGGGGACUACGGCCGCAAGGCUAAAACUCAAGGAAUUGACGGGG
This 557-nucleotide ribosomal RNA is filed under the name uncultured bacterium. RNAcentral's name for it is "bacterial SSU rRNA". It matches the Rfam family "Bacterial small subunit ribosomal RNA", at positions 372 to 918 of the family's 1533-position model. The record is from RNAcentral.